Molecule: unclassified non-coding RNA, 520 nt
Filed under: uncultured Entrophospora
Lineage: Eukaryota; Fungi; Glomeromycota; Glomeromycetes; Entrophosporales; Entrophosporaceae
Description: SSU rRNA
Rfam family: Eukaryotic small subunit ribosomal RNA
Source: RNAcentral
AGCAGCCGCGGUAAUUCCAGCUUCAAUAGCGUAUAUUAAAGUUGUUGCAGUUAAAAAGCUCGUAGUUGAAUUUCGGGAUUGACGUGAUGGUCGUGCCUUAAGGGGUAUGAACUGUUGCUGUUGAUUUCUCACCUUCUGGAGAAACUUGAUGUCCUUAAUUGGGUGUCUUGCGGAUCCAGGACCUUUACCUUGAAAAAUUAGAGUGUUUAAAGCAGGCAUUUUGCUCGAAUACAUUAGCAUGGAAUAAUAGAAUAGGACGGCAUGGUUCUAUUUUGUUGGUUUCUAGGAUCACCGUAAUGAUUAAUAGGGAUAGUUGGGGGCAUUAGUAUUCAAUUGUCAGAGGUGAAAUUCUUGGAUUUAUUGAAGACUAACUACUGCGAAAGCAUUUGCCAAGGAUGUUUUCAUUAAUCAAGAACGAAAGUUAGGGGAUCGAAGACGAUCAGAUACCGUCGUAGUCUUAACCAUAAACUAUGCCGACUAGGAAUCAGACGAUGUUAAUUUUUAAUGUACUCGUUUGGCU